Long non-coding RNA from Symphalangus syndactylus (siamang), 641 nucleotides. RefSeq lists it as uncharacterized. The record is from RefSeq and is a predicted model, not a curated record. NCBI's taxonomy places the organism in Eukaryota, Metazoa, Chordata, Mammalia, Primates, Hylobatidae.
ACAUCCAGGUCCCUAAAAAGAUGUGAGUUGAUCAUAAGUACUCGUGAUGAGCUGGAAUGAUGAGAAGGCUACACUCUUAGCAUAGCUGUGAGCCAAAACUAAAGACAACUCAUUUCUCCAGCUGAUACAAGCUUGUAUGAGAAAGAAGAACUGGUGCUGCAGGAAGUCAAAUACCGCCAGCUUAGCGGGUCAGCAUCCUCUCCUCCCACAUAAGCAGAGAUCGGAGCAUGAGAUAAAAUACCUGGAUGCCCUUUGCUCCAGCCUCGUGCUCCCACAACUUUGCUUCUGACAGAGUACUUAUCUCUCUGACCACUGGGAAACUGCUAAAAAAGAGAAACUUGAAAAGGAUUGGACCUUUCUGUGCAAAUCUCUUUGAAAAUUGCCACCUCCCAGGUUAGCUUUUAAGAGAAGCCCAAUAUAUCAGGAACCUGAAAAUAAAGGAAAAUUUGCACACUGAAACAUCACUUGCUAAUAGUUCUAUUAUUGGAAAUGGAAACAUGGAAUUCUAGAAAAAGAAAUGUCAUUAUGGGGUUAGGAAUUAACCACUUGCUACCUGUGUUAAUGUGACGUGAUUAAAAGAAGCUGCAGGAAGUUCCUGAAAUUAUUGAAACAAAAAUAAAGUAUUUCCCCCUGUAAUCUAA